UACGGAGGAUCCAAGCGUUAUCCGGAUUUAUUGGGUUUAAAGGGUGCGUAGGUGGCUUAUUAAGUCAGGGGUGAAAGACGGUAGCUUAACUAUCGCAGUGCCUUUGAUACUGAUGAGCUUGAAUGAACUAGAGGUAGGCGGAAUGUGACAAGUAGCGGUGAAAUGCAUAGAUAUGUCACAGAACACCAAUUGCGAAGGCAGCUUACUAUGGUUUGAUUGACACUGAGGCACGAAAGCGUGGGGAUCAAACAGG
RNAcentral lists this ribosomal RNA (253 nucleotides) under uncultured bacterium. RNAcentral's name for it is "partial 16S ribosomal RNA". It matches the Rfam family "Bacterial small subunit ribosomal RNA", at positions 524 to 776 of the family's 1533-position model. The record is from RNAcentral.